CAGACCUCAAACCUUCCUUAGGCCAAAUGGAACCCAAAGUCUCACAUGGCCAAAAUCUCAUUUGAGGCAGUCCUUGGUCUCUUGUUAGGUGGUAAGAGAUGUAUCACCUAGAAUAAACCAACAACAAAUGAACUGUGAUAUCUUCACUCAAGAUAUUUACACCUCAAGGGAGAAAACAGAACGAAUGGAACAAACCAGGGCAAGGAAAGAAACGUGUCUCUGCAUUAGCUUCAGGCCCUGGAGAAAUUCUUGUGGAGAAUGGGCAGGAGAAAACUUUGUUUACUGACAGACAGCAACCACAGCCGAAGGUACCCAAUCCUAAGAAAUUGCAGUAGAUCUGAACAAAGUGGGGUGAGUCAUUCAUGCAGCUGACUCCUAGAUUGUGUGUGUUUGAAGAUGCAGCCAGGAAGCCCAGAGACUUUUCUGAUGCUUCAUCCACCAUGACGGCAAAAUGCCGGCCAGGUCAUUACUGACCUACGGGGCAGCCUGUGCACACUGCUGUCAGUGAAGGUGCCCUGAAGUUGGACCCAGGCAGUGCCGACUUAGGUGAUGCCCAACAGUGGUCAUGUUUUAAUAUCCCUUCCUUUUUAUGACAACACUAUUUUCCGUAUACUCCUGUAGUAUUUGGUAAUCAGCAUUAUUUGUCUACAAGCAAACAAUAAUUAAGAAGAAUAAAUGUUAAUUUCUAAAACAUUAUUCAAAUUCAAUGAACUAUUUCAUGAAUGAACUG
RNAcentral lists this long non-coding RNA (730 nucleotides) under Fukomys damarensis (Damara mole-rat). RNAcentral describes it as "lncRNA (ENSFDAG00000029332.1)". The record is from RNAcentral. Lineage: Eukaryota; Metazoa; Chordata; Mammalia; Rodentia; Bathyergidae.